AUUGAACGCUGGCGGCAGGCCUAACACAUGCAAGUCGAGCGGAUGAAGGGAGCUUGCUCCUGGAUUCAGCGGCGGACGGGUGAGUAAUGCCUAGGAAUCUGCCUGGUAGUGGGGGAUAACGUCCGGAAACGGGCGCUAAUACCGCAUACGUCCUGAGGGAGAAAGUGGGGGAUCUUCGGACCUCACGCUAUCAGAUGAGCCUAGGUCGGAUUAGCUAGUUGGUGGGGUAAAGGCCUACCAAGGCGACGAUCCGUAACUGGUCUGAGAGGAUGAUCAGUCACACUGGAACUGAGACACGGUCCAGACUCCUACGGGAGGCAGCAGUGGGGAAUAGUGGACAAUGGGCGAAAGCCUGAUCCAGCCAGGCCGCGUGUGUGAAGAAGGUCUUCGGAUUGGAAAGCACUUUAAGUUGGGAGGAAGGGCAGUAAGUUAAUACCUUGCUGUUUUGACGUUACCAACAGAAUAAGCACCGGCUAACUUCGUG
RNAcentral lists this ribosomal RNA (484 nucleotides) under uncultured bacterium. RNAcentral's name for it is "partial 16S ribosomal RNA". It matches the Rfam family "Bacterial small subunit ribosomal RNA", at positions 30 to 507 of the family's 1533-position model. The record is from RNAcentral.